UCCGUAGGCGGGCUAAUAAGUCAGGGGUGAAAUCCCACAGCUCAACUGUGGAACUGCCUUUGAUACUGUUAGUCUUGAGUUAUAUGGAAGUAGAUAGAAUGUGUAGUGUAGCGGCGAAAUGCAUAGAGAUUACACAGAAUACCGAUUGCGAAGGCAGUCUACUACGUAUAUACUGACGCUAAUGGACGAAAGCGUGGGGAGCGAACAGGAUUAGAUACCCUGGUAGUCC
RNAcentral lists this ribosomal RNA (229 nucleotides) under uncultured bacterium. RNAcentral describes it as "partial 16S ribosomal RNA". It matches the Rfam family "Bacterial small subunit ribosomal RNA", at positions 568 to 796 of the family's 1533-position model. The record is from RNAcentral.